RNAcentral lists this ribosomal RNA (508 nucleotides) under uncultured bacterium. RNAcentral's name for it is "bacterial SSU rRNA". It matches the Rfam family "Bacterial small subunit ribosomal RNA", at positions 8 to 507 of the family's 1533-position model. The record is from RNAcentral.
AGAGUUUGAUCCUGGCUCAGAGUGAACGCUGGCGGCAGGCCUAAUACAUGCAAGUCGAACGGCAGCACAGUGGAGCUUGCUCCAUGGGUGGCGAGUGGCGGACGGGUGAGGAAUACAUGGGAAUCUGCCCAGUCGUGGGGAUAACGUAUGGAAACGUACGCUAAUACCGCAUGCGCCCUUCGGGGGAAAGUCGGGGACCGCAAGGCCUGACGCGAUUGGAUGAGCCCAUGUUCGAUUAGCUAGUUGGCGGGGUAACGGCCCACCAAGGCGACGAUCGAUAGCUGGUCUGAGAGGAUGAUCAGCCACACUGGAACUGAGACACGGUCCAGACUCCUACGGGAGGCAGCAGUAGGGAAUAUUGGACAAUGGGGGCAACCCUGAUCCAGCCAUGCCGCGUGAGUGAAGAAGGCCCUCGGGUUGUAAAGCUCUUUGUUGGGGAAGAAAAGCAGUUGGUUAAUACCCGAUUGUUCUGACGGUACCCAAAGAAUAAGCACCGGCUAACUUCGUG